AAUCACCGCCACUAUUAUCAGCAGAUCUUUUACAUAUUGGACGUUCGAUUUUUAACAGAUCUAUAAAUCGAGAUUUAAGUUUUCGACUUCAACCAAAUCUCGAAAUGAAACUUCAUAAAUAUCAUCAAGAGAUUUUCUUCUUCCCAUUUUAACUGUAAUUUCAACAUCAAAUGAAGAUUAAAGCGAUUGAGAUAGAAUGUUAGGUUUUUGAUUUUGGUUUCGGUUUCUGGGACGAAACUGAGUUGCUAGUGUUGUCUCUGAUGAUGAACAAGGAGGAAUGAAAAGACUACCGUUGAUGAAUUUGAUGUUACGGUUUUGAUCCAUUUCAGAGAGGGAAAGUUGCUGCGAUUGAUGUUGUUGAUGGAUUGACGAGAUUUAAGAAGAGUUGAGAAGCAGGUUGCAGUUGAAUUUGAUGGGGUUUACAUGGGAUUUGAGUGGGAACUGUUGUUUCCAUGGUUGAUUUUCAAUGAUUUUAUGAAGAGAAUGAACUCAACUGAUAGAAGAGAUUGAUGUUGGUGUUUCUGAGAUGAAUCUCAAGAUUUUUUGAAAAUGGGUUUGAGAUGGAUCUGUGUUUGGCAGAUAGAUGACUCAAAAUUGGAGUUGGUUUAACAAUUGGAGAUGGUGGUAUUGGAGAAGAAACUGAGAAUGUGGAGGUAGAGUUGCAACAGUUGUUGCUAUACAGUGCUUGUGCAUGUUAUAUUUGAAGCUGCAGAGUGGUCGAGGCUGUUGUCGUUGUUGGUUAUUGCAAGCAACUGUUGCAGGAAAUGAACUUGUGGAGUUAGAAGGAAACAAUGAGGUUUUUCUAGGAUGGAUGGUGGUGCAGGUCUUCUGAGAUUGCAGGUGUAUGUUGGAACGUAUGAAUUGCAGGUAGUGAAACCUCGAAACGAUUAGAAUGAAGGGUUUGUAGUGGUGUUUUUGGAGAUUUAGGAGAUGACUUGUGAUGGAGAUGUUUUUGAUGAUUUUGAUAUACCUGUAGUUGUUGAGAUGGGUUUGAUAGUUCGAAGGGAUGAGGAACACUUGGUUGCAGGGUGUAAUCGUUACUGCCUGUAUGAAUGAUUACAGGGUAAGAAUGAUGCUGAGAGCUAGUUCUGUAGGUGAUUCAAUGGGUUGGUUAUGAAGCUACAUGAUUGCUACAGGAUUGCAACAGAAGAGCGUACUGAAAUGAGUUUAGAUGUUGGUUCUGGUGGUUAUAUAUGUUGUGUCAUGUGGUGUUGUAUGAAGAUGGUGACUGAUGUUGAUUUAGUAGGAGGUGUUGUUGCUUUACAAGAGCUGACAAGACUGAAAUCAAUCUUGAACUGAAAUCGGUGAUGCAGUGGGCAGGUUAAGAAGUUGUUGUAAGAUCCAGAUUUUGUUUGAAGCCAGGGAAUGAGUUAAUGAGCUGGAAUUGUAGUGACUGGUACUGGUAAAUUGUGGUGGUGAUCAAAUGGAAUGUGCUGUUAAGGUUGUUACUGUGAUUGUUAGUACAUAACCCUGCUAUAGUAUUGUUU
Papaver somniferum (opium poppy) is the source of this 1487-nucleotide long non-coding RNA. RefSeq lists it as uncharacterized. The transcript is spliced from 2 exons. The record is from RefSeq and is a predicted model, not a curated record. Lineage: Eukaryota; Viridiplantae; Streptophyta; Magnoliopsida; Ranunculales; Papaveraceae.